GCCGCGGUAGUAUAGUCCGGUCAAGUAUUCGGCCCUCUCGCGGCUGAGACACGGGUUCAAAUCCCGUCCGCGGCA
This 75-nucleotide transfer RNA is filed under the name Candidatus Woesearchaeota archaeon. Its description in RNAcentral is "tRNA-Glu". It matches the Rfam family "tRNA". From Rfam's summary of the family: Transfer RNA (tRNA) molecules are approximately 80 nucleotides in length. Their secondary structure includes four short double-helical elements and three loops (D, anti-codon, and T loops). Further hydrogen bonds mediate the characteristic L-shaped molecular structure. tRNAs have two regions of fundamental functional importance: the anti-codon, which is responsible for specific mRNA codon recognition, and the 3' end, to which the tRNAs corresponding amino acid is attached (by aminoacyl-tRNA synthetases). tRNAs cope with the degeneracy of the genetic code in two manners: having more than one tRNA (with a specific anti-codon) for a particular amino acid; and 'wobble' base-pairing, i.e. permitting non-standard base-pairing at the 3rd anti-codon position. Lineage: Archaea; Nanobdellati; Candidatus Woesearchaeota. RNAcentral also lists the same sequence under 1 other name. The record is from RNAcentral.